This 415-nucleotide ribosomal RNA is filed under the name uncultured bacterium. RNAcentral's name for it is "bacterial SSU rRNA". It matches the Rfam family "Bacterial small subunit ribosomal RNA", at positions 32 to 417 of the family's 1533-position model. The record is from RNAcentral.
AAUCAACGCUGGCGGCGUGCCUCAGACAUGCAAGUCGAACGAGAAAGUCCCCUUCGGGGGGUGAGUAAAGUGGCGCACGGGUGAGUAACACGUAGGUAAUCUACCUUCGGGUGGGGAAGUAAACCCACGGGAAACGUUAGGGCGUAACACCGCAUAAUGCAGCGGCACCACAUGGUGACAGUUGUUAAAGACGGGGGAGUUUUAGGUACCUCGCGCCUGAAGAGGAGCCUGCGGCGGAUUAGCUAGUUGGUAGGGUAACGGCUUACCAAGGCGACGAUCCGUAACCGGCCUGAGAGGGCGGUCGGUCACACUGACACUGACAUACGGGUCAGACUCCUACGGGAGGCAGCAGUCGGGAAUCUUGCGCAAUGGGCGAAAGCCUGACGCAGCGACGCCGCGUGAGGGAUGACGGCCU